GAUGAACGCUGGCGGCGUGCCUAAUACAUGCAAGUCGAGCGAACGGACGAGAAGCUUGCUUCUCUGAUGUUAGCGGCGGACGGGUGAGUAACACGUGGAUAACCUACCUAUAAGACUGGGAUAACUUCGGGAAACCGGAGCUAAUACCGGAUAAUAUUUUGAACCGCAUGGUUCAAAAGUGAAAGACGGUCUUGCUGUCACUUAUAGAUGGAUCCGCGCUGCAUUAGCUAGUUGGUAAGGUAACGGCUUACCAAGGCAACGAUGCAUAGCCGACCUGAGAGGGUGAUCGGCCACACUGGAACUGCGACACGGUCCCGACUCCUACGGGAGGAAGCAGUAGGGAAUCUUCCGCAAUGGGCGAAAGCCUGACGGAGCAACGCCGCGUGAGUGAUGAAGGUCUUCGGAUCGUAAAACUCUGUUAUUAGGGAAGAACAUAUGUGUAAGUAACUGUGCACAUCUUGACGGUACCUAAUCAGAAAGCCACGGCUAACUACGUG
Molecule: ribosomal RNA, 497 nt
Filed under: uncultured bacterium
Lineage: Bacteria
Description: partial 16S ribosomal RNA
Rfam family: Bacterial small subunit ribosomal RNA
Source: RNAcentral